Molecule: ribosomal RNA, 492 nt
Filed under: uncultured bacterium
Lineage: Bacteria
Description: partial 16S ribosomal RNA
Rfam family: Bacterial small subunit ribosomal RNA
Source: RNAcentral
AGUGAACGCUGGCGGUAGGCCUAACACAUGCAAGUCGAACGGCAGCACAGUAAGAGCUUGCUCUUACGGGUGGCGAGUGGCGGACGGGUGAGGAAUACAUCGGAAUCUACUUUGUCGUGGGGGAUAACGUAGGGAAACUUACGCUAAUACCGCAUACGACCUACGGGUGAAAGCAGGGGAUCUUCGGAGCUUGCGCGAUGGAAUGAGCCGAUGUCGGAUUAGCUAGUUGGCGGGGUAAAGGCCCACCAAGGCGACGAUCCGUAGCUGGUCUGAGAGGAUGAUCAGCCACACUGGAACUGAGACACGGUCCAGACUCCUACGGGAGGCAGCAGUGGGGAAUAUUGGACAAUGGGCGCAAGCCUGAUCCAGCCAUACCGCGUGGGUGAAGAAGGCCUUCGGGUUGUAAAGCCCUUUUGUUGGGAAAGAAAAGCAGCAGGUUAAUACCCCGCUGUUCUGACGGUACCCAAAGAAUAAGCACCGGCUAACUUCGUG